Molecule: long non-coding RNA, 286 nt
Organism: Mugil cephalus (flathead mullet)
Lineage: Eukaryota; Metazoa; Chordata; Actinopteri; Mugiliformes; Mugilidae
Exons: 3
Source: RefSeq, a predicted model, not a curated record
GCACACAUGAACCGUCUGGAUCCAACAGAGAAAGAUGAUUUUCUGUGGUGUUUUAAAUCUUUGACCUGGAUAUGAGUUUGAAAGGUGUGCAUGAUGGAUGUUUCUGAGGAGAGAGAGGACGAUGUUUCUACCUUAAAGGCUGCUCUGUCUGAGCAAAAUGAUGGAGAGACAGGAAAAAAGAGCCAAGUGAACCAGGAGAGACCAGACUCACCUGUAACUGGUGUUUCCUUCAGGAGUGAUCAGUCUAUGAAAUUACCCAUAGCAUUUAAGGAUGGAGAUCACCCUG